Molecule: ribosomal RNA, 253 nt
Filed under: uncultured bacterium
Lineage: Bacteria
Description: partial 16S ribosomal RNA
Rfam family: Bacterial small subunit ribosomal RNA
Source: RNAcentral
UACGUAGGGUGCAAGCGUUGUCCGGAAUUAUUGGGCGUAAAGAGCUCGUAGGCGGUUCGUCGCGUCGGCUGUGAAAACCCGGAGCUCAACUCCGGGCCUGCAGUCGAUACGGGCGGACUUGAGUGUUGCAGGGGAGACUGGAAUUCCUGGUGUAGCGGUGAAAUGCGCAGAUAUCAGGAGGAACACCGGUGGCGAAGGCGGGUCUCUGGGCCUUACCUGACGCUGAGGAGCGAAAGCAUGGGGAGCAAACAGG